UACGUAGGGGGCUAGCGUUGUCCGGAAUCAUUGGGCGUAAAGCGCGUGUAGGCGGUCCGGUAAGUCCGCUGUGAAAGUCGGGGGCUCAACCCUCGGAUGCCGGUGGAUACUGUCGGGCUUGAGUACGGAAGAGGCGAGUGGAAUUCCUGGUGUAGCGGUGAACUGCGCAGAUAUCAGGAGGAACACCAAUUGCGAAGGCAGCUCGCUGGGACGUUACUGACGCUGAGGUACGAAAGCGUGGGGAGCAAACAGG
This 253-nucleotide ribosomal RNA is filed under the name uncultured bacterium. RNAcentral's name for it is "partial 16S ribosomal RNA". It matches the Rfam family "Bacterial small subunit ribosomal RNA", at positions 524 to 776 of the family's 1533-position model. The record is from RNAcentral.